GAGCAGAUGAUGAAAGAUAUUAGUAUGUUAUAUACUGAUCCAUGAUGUUUCAAAAUCGAGCUUUUUAAAACUGAUGCUCA
RNAcentral lists this small nucleolar RNA (80 nucleotides) under Corchorus capsularis. Lineage: Eukaryota; Viridiplantae; Streptophyta; Magnoliopsida; Malvales; Malvaceae. The record is from RNAcentral.